GAAAGCUUUUCUGUUUAAAGAGCAGCGGGGACGGAUUGUUCAGGCUCGCAGGUUGAACGGAACCUCUUCUGCUGCUGAGAGAAAUCAUUUUGACAAGGUGUCCUACAGAAUAAUACUGGAGUGGAUCUAUAUAGAACAGUCCAUUUAGUGCCUAAAUGAUACAUUUUAAAACAAACAAGCAGUGUAUCAGGAAAGUAUCAGAGCAAUUAGUCUCAAUCAAUUGUAUUUUAUUUAAUAAUAGAAGCCAAAAAUACAUUAUGUGCCUUUACACCAGAAUAUCAUUACCUCCUAUUUUGUGUAAUUCAUAAUCACACGGUAAUGUGUGACAGAGUGUGUGUCAGUGGUAGAACUGGAAACAUUUUUUGUUUUUUAAGAGAAUGCUGUCCAUUUUUUGUUUUUCUGUUCAGUCAUCACAGUGGGCUUCCUUACUGUAUCUUCUUGCUGCUGCUAAAACACAACUUCUUCGUCAUCAUGUUUAGUCAAUUUAAAGCAAUAGGUUAAAGUACAGGGAAAAUAUUUCAAGAUGAAGUCUGACUUGAAACACAAGGGGAGAUGUGUUGCCUUUUUAUUAAAUUUACCAAAAUCAAGUAUUUCAAGUAUAACUGUGAAGAUAUAAUAAGAUACGAUGUCUGCAUUAAAAUGUCUAAAAGUGACUAGAUAGUUGUUAUAUGGUCUGUUGAGUUACUUGAGUUUCUUGAAUUAUUUCAAACGUUUCCAACAAUGUUCAAACAUUCUAUUUCAUUUUAUUUAUGGUUACGGUUCAUUUCAUUUGUUAUUUCUCACUUCUUGGGAGAGAGUCACAGAAUGACUAAGAAGGUCGGCAAACACAAUUAAAUGUAACGUGAAUAAAACGUGACCUCGAGAGUUUAUACCUGAGUCACGUGGAUAGAUUAUUCAUCAGCAGUGGUUGCUGUUAAAUAGUAUGUUUGCCUGAGUCGUGUUACUCAUGCCGAUUGACAACAGGAUCGUUUGAGAUUAAACAUGCUACUUGCGCAAGUGUUUAUUCAGCCUAAACAGCAAUAUUACUUUGCUGUACAUAAACUAGCCAUCAAGGGUGCUGACACUGAGUGUGUGUGUCUUUGUGUUCCAAUACAGAUCAACCUUUCUGAACUCAGCACUCACCACGGACUCCAGGGCACUUUUUCCACUCUCCUCUUUGUAAUAUUCAUGAGGCAUGUUCAAGGACGACUUCACGUCUGGAAUAUAAUGUAAGUGCAAAACUCAAUAAAACAGAGGCAUUUUAAUUUAAGAUUUUACAUAUU
Molecule: long non-coding RNA, 1262 nt
Organism: Sparus aurata (gilthead seabream)
Lineage: Eukaryota; Metazoa; Chordata; Actinopteri; Spariformes; Sparidae
Source: Ensembl